RNAcentral lists this small nuclear RNA (161 nucleotides) under Saimiri boliviensis boliviensis (Bolivian squirrel monkey). RNAcentral's name for it is "U4 spliceosomal RNA (ENSSBOG00000003284.1)". The stretch from base 1 to 77 matches the Rfam family "U4 spliceosomal RNA". Lineage: Eukaryota; Metazoa; Chordata; Mammalia; Primates; Cebidae. The record is from RNAcentral.
AGCUUUGGGCAGUGGCAGUAUCGUAGCCAAUGAGGUUUAGCCGAGGCGCGAUUAUUGCUAAUUGAAAUAUUGGCUUACUUAACCCAUAGAUAUGGUGUGGAAACAGGCAGGUGACAGAAAGCAGUUUUGCAGGAUGCAAUUUUAAAAUGACUGCCUUUAAA